AAGUCGUAACAAGGUUUCCGUAGGUGAACCUGCGGAAGGAUCAUUAAUGAAUGAUAAUUUUUUUGGGUUUUCCCUGAAAAAUAAUUCACCUUUUGUGCAUUGUUAUUAGAUAUACUUUGGUCAGAGCUUUGAUUUCAUUAUUGGAAUCAACUUCUUGCUGACUCUAUCCUAUUGAAUGGGACAGUUGGCUAUGAAGCGGCCUACCAAGGUUUUUUAUCAAACACAUUUAAUCAACUGACCUAAAACAAAUAAUUAAAUCAUAACUUUCAACAACGGAUCUCUUGGCUCUC
This 290-nucleotide unclassified non-coding RNA is filed under the name fungal sp. RNAcentral's name for it is "partial internal transcribed spacer region". The stretch from base 1 to 46 matches the Rfam family "Eukaryotic small subunit ribosomal RNA", at positions 1786 to 1831 of the family's 1831-position model. Lineage: Eukaryota; Fungi. The record is from RNAcentral.